UCGGAUUGCAGUCUGCAACUCGAGUGCAUGAAGCUGGAAUCGCUAGUAAUCGCGGAUCAGAAUGCCGCGGUGAAUACGUUCCCGGGUCUUGUACACACCGCCCGUCACACCAUGGGAGUCGGGAAUGCCCGAAGCCGGUGGCCAAUCGAAAGAAGGAGCCGUCGAAGGCAGGCCGGAUGACUGGGGUGAAGUCGUAACAAGGUAAC
RNAcentral lists this ribosomal RNA (206 nucleotides) under uncultured bacterium. RNAcentral's name for it is "partial 16S ribosomal RNA". It matches the Rfam family "Bacterial small subunit ribosomal RNA", at positions 1293 to 1500 of the family's 1533-position model. The record is from RNAcentral.